UGAGCAAGCUGCCCUUCUCAUCGGAAUAAGCGUUGGAAACGACGUCUAAUGCCGAAUACGACCUCCUUUCGCAUGAUCGGAGGUGGAAAGCUCCGGCGGAGAAGGAUGAGCUCGCGGCCUAUCAGCUAGUUGGUGUGGGUAACGGCCCACCAAGGAGACGACGGGUAGCCGGCCUGAGAGGGUGACCGGCCACACUGGGACUGAGACACGGCCCAGACUCCGUACGGGAGGNAGCG
Molecule: ribosomal RNA, 236 nt
Filed under: uncultured bacterium
Lineage: Bacteria
Description: partial 16S ribosomal RNA
Rfam family: Bacterial small subunit ribosomal RNA
Source: RNAcentral